This 77-nucleotide transfer RNA is filed under the name Vibrio cholerae. RNAcentral describes it as "tRNA-Met". It matches the Rfam family "tRNA". From Rfam's summary of the family: Transfer RNA (tRNA) molecules are approximately 80 nucleotides in length. Their secondary structure includes four short double-helical elements and three loops (D, anti-codon, and T loops). RNAcentral also lists the same sequence under 10 other names. Lineage: Bacteria; Pseudomonadati; Pseudomonadota; Gammaproteobacteria; Vibrionales; Vibrionaceae. The record is from RNAcentral.
GGAGAUGUAGCUCAGUUGGUUAGAGCGGCGGUUUCAUAGGCUGCAUGUCGGGAGUUCAAUUCUCUCCAUCUCCACCA